CGGCAGUUGUGAUCGGCGCGGUCGAGACGUGAGUCAAGAAGAAGCGAAGCAAACGAGAGAGCAAAAAGGGGAGAGGGUCGAGAGCAAUUCGCUACGAGAGAAAGAAGCUCGCGCCCACACGCAUCGUUCGCGUUUCUUUGUUACAUGUGCGAUCUAUCGUCGCCGGUACGACAAUAUUUUUCGAAAGCACGGAGGGCGAGUCCGUCCGUUGUCGCGACAGUGGUAGUGGUAGUGACGGCAGUGGUGGUGGUGUAAUAUUUCAUAGUGGCGGUGGUGUUGGUGCCGCCGUCGCGCACUCGUCGUUGGUCGCGCAUCGUGGCGACAGCUGGUAGCGACAGCCGUCGUCGCACGUCGUCGUCGUCGUCAGGCUCGACUUCGAGUCGAUCGAGUCGCGUACGCAAGUACGAUACGCGGGUAGUCGCGGACGUUACGCGCGCGUUCGUGGAACGAAGUAACGGAUAACGGUGCGCGCGCGCGCACACACACAUAUACACACACACACACACACAAGGGACGAGAGAAAGUAUAGUCGGGAACGCACAAGGGGCAGGCCCGCAGCAGCAGCACCUUUGCCGCGUCGUGUUGCGCGCUCGCUAAACAAAGAUGGCGGACGUGGACUCGAGGGUAGACCGGUCCGAUCCGGAGCUGCGUAUCUUGUCGGUCGACAGGAACAGCUUCAACGAUCCGGCCACCCAAGCGGAAUGGACGCAAAAGAAGCUGGUGUGGGUGCCACACGAGACGCAGGGCUUCGUCGCCGCCGGUAUCAAGGGCGAGCGCGGCGACGAAGUCGAGGUGGAGAUCGCGGAGACCGGCAAGCGCGUACUCGUCGCCAAGGAUGAUAUACAGAAGAUGAAUCCGCCCAAGUUCGAUAAGGUCGAGGACAUGGCGGAGCUUACCUGUCUCAACGAGGCCUCCGUUCUGCAUAACCUCAAGGACCGAUACUAUUCCGGACUGAUUUACACAUAUUCUGGCCUCUUUUGCGUCGUAGUAAACCCUUAUAAGAGACUGCCAAUAUACACAGAGAAGAUUAUGGAAAGGUACAAAGGCAUUAAGAGACACGAAGUGCCACCACACGUAUUUGCCAUUACCGAUACGGCUUAUCGUUCUAUGUUGCAAGAUCGCGAAGACCAGUCAAUUUUGUGCACCGGCGAGUCCGGCGCCGGCAAGACCGAGAACACAAAGAAAGUGAUUCAAUAUUUAGCCUAUGUGGCCGCGUCGAAACCCAAGUCUAACGCGACUCCGAGUCCGGCAUUAAUCAUAGGUGAGCUCGAGCAACAGCUUCUUCAGGCGAAUCCAAUUUUGGAAGCAUUCGGUAAUGCGAAGACUGUGAAGAAUGAUAAUUCGUCCCGUUUCGGUAAAUUUAUAAGAAUAAAUUUUGAUGCAUCCGGUUACAUAGCCGGUGCAAAUAUUGAGACGUAUCUUCUAGAGAAGUCGAGAGCCAUUCGGCAAGCGAAAGAUGAAAGGACUUUCCACAUAUUUUAUCAACUGUUGGCAGGUGCUUCAGUGGAACAAAAGAAGGAAUUUAUAUUGGAAGAUCCAAAGCACUAUCCUUUUCUAUCGAAUGGAGCUCUACCAGUUCCUGGUGUCGAUGAUUCCGCUGAAUUCUUCUCUACGGUAAAGUCGAUGCACAUCAUGGGCAUGACCAACGAGGACUUCUCCUCCAUCUUCCGUAUCGUUUCCGCCGUGAUGUUGUUUGGUUCGAUGCAAUUCCGUCAAGAGCGAAAUUCUGAUCAAGCCACGUUACCGGACAACACGGUGGCGCAGAAGAUCUCGCACUUAUUGGGCCUAAGCGUGACCGAGAUGACGAAAGCCUUCCUAAAACCGCGCAUUAAGGUCGGUCGUGAUUUCGUUACGAAGGCACAGACGAAGGAGCAGGUGGAAUUCGCUGUAGAGGCGAUCUCAAAGGCCUGUUAUGAAAGGAUGUUCCGUUGGUUGGUGAAUAGAAUCAAUAGGUCCCUUGACAGAACGAAGCGACAGGGUGCCAGCUUCAUCGGCAUACUGGAUAUGGCCGGUUUCGAGAUAUUCGAGCUGAAUUCCUUCGAGCAGCUUUGUAUCAAUUACACAAAUGAGAAGUUGCAACAAUUGUUCAAUCAUACGAUGUUUAUUCUGGAGCAAGAGGAGUAUCAGCGUGAGGGAAUUGAAUGGAAGUUCAUAGACUUUGGAUUGGAUUUGCAGCCAACGAUCGAUCUUAUCGACAAACCAAUGGGCAUUAUGGCGCUUUUAGAUGAAGAGUGUUGGUUUCCUAAAGCCACGGACAAGACAUUCGUGGAAAAACUGGUUGGCGCUCACAGUGUCCAUCCGAAGUUCAUGAAGACUGACUUCCGCUAUGUAGCCGAUUUUGCAAUUAUCCAUUAUGCUGGCAAAGUUGAUUAUUCUGCCGCUAAAUGGUUGAUGAAAAAUAUGGACCCAUUGAAUGAGAACGUUGUUAGUCUUCUACAAGGCUCACAGGAUCCGUUUGUGUGUCAUAUCUGGAAAGAUGCUGAGAUUGUCGGUAUGGCGCAGCAGGCGCUCACAGAUACACAAUUCGGUGCGAGGACGAGGAAGGGCAUGUUCAGAACGGUCUCGCAACUGUAUAAGGAACAAUUAGCCAAGCUGAUGGUGACAUUGCGCAACACGAAUCCAAACUUUGUUAGAUGUAUAAUUCCGAAUCACGAGAAGAGAGCUGGUAAAAUUGACGCCCCGCUUGUGCUAGAUCAACUACGAUGCAAUGGCGUGUUGGAGGGUAUCCGUAUCUGCCGGCAAGGUUUCCCAAACAGAAUUCCGUUCCAAGAAUUCAGACAACGCUACGAAUUGCUUACUCCAAAUGCUAUCCCCAAGGGAUUUAUGGACGGGAAAAAGGCUUGCGAAAAGAUGAUUCAAGCAUUAGAGUUGGAUCCAAAUCUUUAUCGUGUUGGACAAUCGAAGAUCUUUUUCCGCGCCGGGGUGUUGGCCCACUUGGAGGAGGAGAGGGACUACAAGAUCACGGAUAUAAUCGUCAAUUUCCAGGCUUUCUGUCGCGGUUUCUUGGCCAGGCGUAAUUAUCAAAAACGUUUGCAGCAGCUUAACGCGAUCCGCAUUAUCCAGAGAAACUGUGCGGCUUAUCUAAAGUUGCGCAAUUGGCAAUGGUGGCGGUUGUACACCAAAGUGAAGCCUCUAUUAGAGGUUACCAAACAGGAGGAAAAGCUCACACAGAAAGAGGAUGAACUGAAGCAGGUUCGCGACAAGCUGGAGUUACAGCUGCAUUCGGCUCAGGAAUACGAGCGCAAAUAUCAACAGGCAAUCGAAGAAAAGACUAUGCUGGCUGAGCAAUUGCAGGCAGAAGUUGAGCUUUGCGCGGAAGCCGAAGAGAUGAGAGCUAGGUUGGCCGCGAGAAAGCAAGAGCUAGAGGAAAUUUUGCAUGAUUUGGAAGCGCGUAUCGAAGAGGAAGAAGAGAGAAGCGCCGCGUUGACUCAGGAGAAGAAGAAAUUACAGUUGAAUAUUAGUGAUUUAGAAGAGCAACUAGAGGAAGAGGAAGCUGCUAGACAAAAACUGCAAUUAGAAAAAGUUCAAUGUGAUGCGAAAAUCAAGAAGUUAGAGGAAGAUCUCGCUCUUUCAGAAGAUACCAAUCAAAAGUUAUUGAAAGAAAAAAAGAUUCUUGAGGAACGUGCAAAUGAUCUUUCACAGACUUUGGCCGAAGAAGAGGAGAAGGCGAAGCAUUUGUCGAAAUUGAAAGCUAAGCACGAAGCGACAAUCGCCGAUCUCGAGGAGAGACUUCUUAAAGAUCAUCAGCAACGACAGGAGGUGGAUAGAUCCAAGAGAAAAGUCGAGACUGAGGUUUCAGACUUGAAAGAGCAAUUGGCUGAAAGGAAAACGCAAGUUGAAGAAAUGCAGCUUCAACUUGGCAAACGUGAGGAAGAACUCAAUCAAGUUAUGGCAAAAAUGGACGAAGAAGGUGCCGCUAAAGCACAAGCUCAAAAAGCGCUUAGAGAGCUAGAGUCACAGUUAGCUGAACUUCAGGAAGAUUUAGAAGCUGAAAAGGCAGCUAGGGGUAAAGCGGAAAAACAGAAGCGCGAUUUGAACGAGGAACUUGAAGCACUGAAAAAUGAAUUGCUCGAUUCUUUAGAUACUACCGCAGCUCAACAGGAAUUAAGAAGCAAACGAGAACAAGAACUAGCAACAUUGAAGAAGAACCUCGAAGAGGAAACAUCAUUGCAUGAAGCUACGCUCGCCGAUAUGCGUCAUAAGCAUACACAAGAACUGACUGCUCUGAAUGAACAGAUGGAUGCGUUGAAGAAAACGAAAGCGGUUCUAGAGAAGGCAAAAGGAUCUUUGGAAGCCGAGAACGCUGAUUUGGCAACAGAACUCAGAUCGGUCAGUGCAAGUAGACAAGAAUCUGAUCGUCGUCGUAAGCAAGCGGAGCAACAGUUAGCGGAAAUAAACGCAAAAUUGGCCGAGGUAGAACGAAACAAACAAGAAUUAGCCGAGAAAGUGACGAAACUGCAACAAGAAGCGGAAAGUGUAAUGCAGCAGCUAGAAACUGCUGAACUGAAAGCAUCUGCAGCAUUGAAGGCAUCGGCCACCUGCGAAUCCCAGUUUACCGAACUACAACAGCAAUUGGAAGAAGAAACUCGGCAGAAACUGGCUCUCAGUUCGAAGUUGCGCGCAUUAGAAAGUGAGAAAGAGAGCUUGCACGAUCAACUUGAGGAAGAAGAGGAAGCAAAACGUGCCUUGGACAAGCAACUGCUGAGUCUGAAUGUACAAUUGGCUGAAGCCAAGAAACGUGCUGAUGAUGAAGCAGAGGCAGCUGUCGCUCUCGAGGAGGCCAGGAAACGUUGCACGAAGGACAUUGAAGGUCUCCAACGGCAAGUCGAGGAAUUACAGGCAGCCAAUGAUAAAUUAGAUAAAUCAAAGAAAAAGAUUCAGGCAGAACUGGAGGACAGUAUCAUCGAGUUGGAGGCACAGCGAGCGAAAGUACUUGAGUUAGAAAAGAAGCAGAAGAACUUUGACAAGGUGCUGGCCGAGGAGAAGGCUGUGUCUGAGCAAUAUGCAGAACAACGGGACGCCGCGGAGAGAGAAGCGCGCGAGAAAGAGACAAGAGUAUUAUCAUUGACUCGCGAAUUAGAUGAGCUUAAUGAGAAAGUUGAGGAACUUGAACGGGGCCGUAGAGGUCUACAAUCGGAACUGGACGAAUUGGUUAAUAACCAAGGUACCGCUGACAAGAAUGUUCACGAGUUAGAGAAGGCAAAACGUUCAUUAGAAUCACAGCUACAAGAACAAAAAUCGCAGGUUGAAGAAUUGGAGGAUGAGUUACAGUUCACGGAAGAUGCUAAGCUCCGGUUGGAAGUAAAUAUGCAAGCAUUGCGAGCUCAGUUCGAGCGUGAUCUUCAAACCAAGGAAGAACAAGCGGAAGAAAAACGUCGGGGAUUAGUGAAGCAGCUCCGUGAUCUCGAGGCGGAGCUCGAGGAUGAGAGGAAACAGCGUGCUGCAGCCAUCGCUGCACGUAAAAAAAUGGAAGCGGAUUACAAGGACAUCGAACAACAGUUGGAGAUGCAUAAUAAGGUGAAGGAAGACGCACUCAAGCAACUGAAAAAACUUCAAACUCAAAUCAAGGAUUGUACUAGAGAGACAGAAGAAGCUAGGGCUGCAAGAGAUGAACUGGCAGCUGCCUCUAAGGAAACCGAGAGGAAGGUUAAGAGCUUAGAAGCCGAUUUGUUGCAAUUGACCGAGGACUUUGCAAGUAGUGAACGCGCCAGACGAACUGCCGAAAAUGAGAGGGAUGAGCUGCAAGAAGAAGUCAAUAAUAAUGCCAACAAGGGAACUCUGAUGUUAGACGAGAAACGUAGAUUGGAGGCAAGAAUUGCCACUCUAGAGGAAGAAUUGGAAGAGGAGCAAUCGAACGCUGAGAUCGUAAUGGAUCGUGCUAGAAAAGGUCAAAUUGUGAUCGAGCAGUUGACAACGGACUUGGCGACUGAGCGAUCUACUACGCAAAAAUUGGAGUCACACAAGAUGCUGUUAGAGAGACAGAAUAAAGAACUUAAAGCCAAGUUAACCGAGUUAGAGACUGCGCAACGUGCCAAGACCAAGGCUACGAUACAGCAACUGGAAUCGAAGAUCAACAAUCUCGAUGAGCAACUUGAAACUGAAGCCAAGGAAAGAUUCGCCCAGCAGAAGAUCAAUCGUAAGCUGGAGAAGAAAUUGAAGGAACUGAGCCUACAGUUGGAGGAUGAGAGACGAAACUCUGAUCAGUAUAAAGAACAGGCGGAGAAAGUCAAUGUCAGAAUGAAGGCGUUGAAGAGACAAUUGGACGAAGCGGAGGAGGAGAUUAGUAGGCAUAAGACCAUGAAGCGGAAAGCGCAAAGAGAGAUGGAUGACAUCACAGAAUCUCACGAAGAGCUCAUGCGGGAAUUGACACAUCUAAAGAAUAAAUUAAGGUGUCAAGAGAGAAAAAACGAUUGGUAUCCUACCUGAGAGAGUUUUUUGCUAGGAAACAAUCCCAUUAGUGUCCCCAGUGUGCUACAGCGCGGUGGUCCUCCGAUAAGUCUGAGCUCUACGAGGCUGAAACGCGGUUCUGUACAAACCGGCGGCUCGGGUGAUG
Molecule: unclassified non-coding RNA, 6553 nt
Filed under: Acromyrmex echinatior (Panamanian leafcutter ant)
Lineage: Eukaryota; Metazoa; Arthropoda; Insecta; Hymenoptera; Formicidae
Description: myosin heavy chain, non-muscle, transcript variant X3
Source: RNAcentral